UAAAUGGAGAGGAGAGGGGAGGGGUCGAUGGAUUACGGAACAUGCGUGGGAAGCAAGGACAACAGGUCGAUGCGAGGUGCAGGAAGAAGGGGAGGAGUGUGUUGGCAUCACUGGGGGAGACUAACAAGAGGAAAGGUUCAGUAAGAAUAUAGAGCUAAGGAGGAGAAUCUAGCGGGGUAGGGGUGGGAGAAGGGUGAUAGGGCCGGCAGGUGCGUUUCCAGGGUCAAUCAAUGGCGGCGCGAAGCAGGCUGCGUGCAUGGAGAGGCACCAUGGCGACACUGACUAGAACUAUCGAUCCUCCCCCGCCUCACUACACCGCCGCCGCUGCCGACACCACCACCACCAACCACCACCACCACCACCAUUACCCACCACCAUCGUUGUCUCCACCACCGCCAGGCAGGCUCUGUCUCUUCACUGCGCCCUGCAGUUCUUUGCCGCGGUCGGCCGCUCCGCCACAGCACAGCGCCGCAUCUGUUGACGGCUCUGCUCCCUCCUCCCUUCUCUCUCUUCGCCUCAGAUGCUGGCGUUCUCUCGUCCCUUCCCGCUGGUCCAUUCACUCACACUCCCAGAGUUCUACAGGCGGCGGUAGUGGCGACGACAGCCAUAGGAAACUCGCAGUCAGGCUAAUCACUCGGAACCCAAGGAUGCCAGGAAAGCGCUGCUGGUGACGUGCAGCUUGCUACCCGGUUACCCUCUACCCGCACGCUCGCUCGGAAUGGAUUUUCGUGUUUCUGCGCCGACGACCUGUCCUGCAACGAGCUGGUGAUCUGAUCGUGUCAGUUGGACGACCCCCGUCAUCGUGUGGAUGACGUCUGCUGUGGCGUCUGCGCAUGUGCAGUGGAGGGUGCAUGUGCGCGCGUGUUUGUGAGUGAGUGGAAUGACAGGAGAGGUGCACCACCAGCACGGAGAGGUUUGUCUGAGGAGUCUUGUCUCCCUGACAGGAGAUCGCCUCGGUCGACGGCGCUGCGCAAGAGGAGCCCACCGGAUGUAGUAGCAUCGUGUCCCGGAAGUGCUUCAGUGUGUCGCCGGCCUACAUAGUAGUGGACCAAACACUGUUUGUAUUCCUAGCUCACUACGUGAUGUCUACGUCGCCAGUUUCUGUUUGCAGACUGUGACGACUCACACCACGCCCUCAGAAAUCAAGACUGUUCGUACCAGGCGGUUCUCGAUUCCUUGAGAUUUUCUCGUUACGAACAAACAACUUGAGAGAGAGAGGGCAACAGAGAGAGACCCGAGGAUACACUACUGGGAUACCUGUGUGAGUGUUUUGUCGACUCAUCUCUCCGCCUCAGUUGGAGGAUCAUGUGCUCAGUUGCUCACCAUGCCGCCCGUUAGCCUGUCUUGGUUCCUGCUCCUGUCUGCUGUCUUCACCGCAGCGGCCGAGGAAUAAUGGAAGGCGUGGUUCCGGGCUGGCGGCUGAGACUGAAGUGAUUUUUCUCGGAGCGCUGCUUCCGCUCGCGAGAGUUUGCGUGAGUCGCCUGUAUAAUUCGCCUUCCUGCGUGCGGAGGAAUUCAAAAUGACCGCUAAGGGCAGGAUCAAAUGAGACUGUCAGUUGCUGGGGGAGAGGGGGAUGAACAGUGCACGCCGAGAAACUUCCAAGAAAGCCAUUGUCCGAAUUUCUGAAGAGCUGUGUUUCCCCCACACUCACAUCUUCGGAAGAGGGUUAGACAGGAUCAGUGAGAGGAGCUUAUGUUAUAAACAAAUGUCAUCUGUUGUUGACAAUGUUUCUCAAACAAAAGGCUGCACACACACAUAUAUAUAUGUAAUAUGCGUGGUAAACAUCUCUUUGUCCCUCCUUUUUAUAGAUAUAUCUGUAUAUAAAUCUGUCUCUAUAUCUAUGUAUAAAGAGAGAUUCGUCUAGUUUAUUGGUAUUUAGGUAAAGUCAAUCAAGGCAAUUCUUAUUUGGGUCCCUCGAGGUAUUUUGUGUUCAUGCAUCUUAAGAUAAUUCUUAUUUAUACAUCUGAAUAUAUUUGUAACUUUCAACUCUCGAAUAACGGAGGACUUCGCUUUGAAGAGAAGAUGGACAAAAAAAAAAAAACAACAAACAACAAUAACAAAAAAACAAAACCAAAAAAAAAAA
Molecule: long non-coding RNA, 2083 nt
Organism: Pomacea canaliculata
Lineage: Eukaryota; Metazoa; Mollusca; Gastropoda; Architaenioglossa; Ampullariidae
Exons: 2
Source: RefSeq, a predicted model, not a curated record